RNAcentral lists this long non-coding RNA (273 nucleotides) under Urocitellus parryii (Arctic ground squirrel). RNAcentral describes it as "Nuclear RNase P (ENSUPAG00010001388.1)". It matches the Rfam family "Nuclear RNase P", at positions 1 to 219 of the family's 301-position model. From Rfam's summary of the family: Ribonuclease P (RNase P) is a ubiquitous endoribonuclease, found in archaea, bacteria and eukarya as well as chloroplasts and mitochondria. The record is from Rfam by way of RNAcentral. Lineage: Eukaryota; Metazoa; Chordata; Mammalia; Rodentia; Sciuridae.
GGCGGAGGGAAGCUCAUCAGUGGGGCUACGAACUGAGUGCGUUGCAUCACUCUACCCCAUGUCCCUUGGGAAGGUCUGAGACUAGGGCCAAAUAGCGGCCCUAACAGGGCCCUCCCUGAACCRCGGGGAGGUGAGUUCCAAGAAACUGGUUUUAUAUUGUUGGUUAGGAUGAUAGAAGUUGAUUACCAGCAAUCUAAUUUUUAAUACAUCACAAAGAUAGAUUUUUUUAUACAGUGAAUUCAAACUAGUAAUUCACACAAAUUUUAAACUGAU